AUUGAACGCUGGCGGCAGGCCUAACACAUGCAAGUCGAGCGGUAGCACAGAGAGCUUGCUCUCGGGUGACGAGCGGCGGACGGGUGAGUAAUGUCUGGGAAGCUGCCUGAUGGAGGGGGAUAACUACUGGAAACGGUAGCUAAUACCGCAUAACGUCGCAAGACCAAAGUGGGUGACCUUCGGGCCUCAUGCCAUCAGAUGGGCCCAGAUGGGAUUAGCUAGUAGGUGGGGUAACGGCUCACCUAGGCGACGAUCCCUAGCUGGUCUGAGAGGAUGACCAGCCACACUGGAACUGAGACACGGUCCAGACUCCUACGGGAGGCAGCAGUGGGGAAUAUUGCACAAUGGGCGCAAGCCUGAUGCAGCCAUGCCGCGUGUGUGAAGAAGGCCUUCGGGUUGUAAAGCACUUUCAGCGGGGAGGAAGGCGGUGAGGUUAAUAACCUCAUCGAUUGACGUUACCCGCAGAAGAAGCACCGGCUAACUCCGUGCCAGCAGCCGCCGUAA
Molecule: ribosomal RNA, 504 nt
Filed under: uncultured bacterium
Lineage: Bacteria
Description: partial 16S ribosomal RNA
Rfam family: Bacterial small subunit ribosomal RNA
Source: RNAcentral